This 198-nucleotide ribosomal RNA is filed under the name Salmonella enterica subsp. enterica serovar Ohio. RNAcentral describes it as "partial 23S ribosomal RNA". It matches the Rfam family "Bacterial large subunit ribosomal RNA", at positions 2733 to 2925 of the family's 2925-position model. Lineage: Bacteria; Pseudomonadati; Pseudomonadota; Gammaproteobacteria; Enterobacterales; Enterobacteriaceae. The record is from RNAcentral.
UGGCACUGCCCGGUAGCUAAAUGCGGAAGAGAUAAGUGCUGAAAGCAUCUAAGCACGAAACUUGCCCCGAGAUGAGUUCUCCCUGAGACUUUAGAUCUCCUGAAGGAACGUUGAAGACGACGACGUUGAUAGGCCGGGUGUGUAAGCGCAGCGAUGCGUUGAGCUAACCGGUACUAAUGAACCGUGAGGCUUAACCUU